Molecule: transfer RNA, 76 nt
Filed under: Rhodobacterales bacterium
Lineage: Bacteria; Pseudomonadati; Pseudomonadota; Alphaproteobacteria; Rhodobacterales
Also listed under: 2 other names
Description: tRNA-Thr
Rfam family: tRNA
About the family: Transfer RNA (tRNA) molecules are approximately 80 nucleotides in length. Their secondary structure includes four short double-helical elements and three loops (D, anti-codon, and T loops).
Source: RNAcentral
GCCGGUAUAGCUCAGCUGGCAGAGCACCUGAUUUGUAAUCAGGGGGUCCCGGGUUCGAUCCCUGGUGCCGGCACCA